This 1285-nucleotide ribosomal RNA is filed under the name Bacteroidales genomosp. P4 oral clone MB2_G17. RNAcentral describes it as "bacterial SSU rRNA". It matches the Rfam family "Bacterial small subunit ribosomal RNA". RNAcentral also lists the same sequence under 1 other name. Lineage: Bacteria; Pseudomonadati; Bacteroidota; Bacteroidia; Bacteroidales. The record is from RNAcentral.
GAUGAACGCUUGCGGCAGGCUUAAUACAUGCAAGUCGAACGAGUGGCGGAUGGGUGAGUAACGCGUAUGCAACCUACCUCGUGUCGAGAAAAAGUCGACUGAAAAGUCGAUUAAAGUUUCGUAGUGAUAGUUGGCGCGAGAUGGGCAUGCGUAUCAUUAGCUAGUUGGUAGGGUAACGGCCUACCAAGGCGACGAUGAUUAGGGGUUCUGAGAGGGAGGUCCCCCACACUGGGACUGAGACACGGCCCAGACUCCUACGGGAGGCAGCAGUAGGGAAUAUUGGUCAAUGGGCGGAAGCCUGAACCAGCCAUGCCGCGUGAUGGACGACGGCCUUCGGGUUGUAAACAUCUUUUCUGCUAGAGGAUGACUGUAUAGCAGGAAUAAGGAUCGGCUAACUCCGUGCCAGCAGCCGCGGUAAUACGGAGGAUCCGAGCGUUAUCCGGAUUUACUGGGUUUAAAGGGUGCGCAGGCGGGCUCUUAAGUCAGUGGUGAAAAGCCUAGGCUUACCCUAGGUCGUGCCAUUGAUACUGGGAGUCUUGGAUAAGAUAAGGAAGGCGGAAUGCGUAGUGUAGCGGUGAAAUGCUUAGAUAUUACGUAGAAGACCGAUUGCGAAGGCAGCUUUCUGGGUCUAUCGACGCUCAAGCACGAAAGCGUGGGUAGCGAACAGGAUUAGAUACCCUGGUAGUCCACGCCGUAAACGAUGAUCACUCGCUCUUGGCGUGUCAGGGGCCAAGCGAAAGCGUUAAGUGAUCCACCUGGGAGUACGGCCGCAAGGCUGAAACUCAAAGGAAUUGACGGGGGCCCGCACAAGCGGAGGAACAUGUGGUUUAAUUCGAUGAUACGCGAGGAACCUUACCUGGGCUAGAACUGCAGAGGUGCUGCAUGGUUGUCGUCAGCUCGUGCCGUGAGGUGUCGGGUUAAGUCCCAUAACGAGCGCAACCCCUAUCGUCAGUUACCAUCAGCUGGGGACUCUGGCGAGACUGCCGGUGCAAACCGGAGGAAGGUGGGGAUGACGUCAAAUCAGCACGGCCCUUACGUCCAGGGCGACACACGUGUUACAAUGGGUAGCAGCGAGUUGCCAACCAGCAAUGGUGCGCUAAUCUAUACUACCCUCAGUUCGGACGGAGUCUGCAACUCGACUCCGGAAGCUGGAUUCGCUAGUAAUCGCGCAUCAGCCAUGGCGCGGUGAAUACGUUCCCGGGCCUUGUACACACCGCCCGUCAAGCCAUGAAAGUCGUGGGUGCCUGAAGUUCGUAGCGACCUAAGGCAAACUCAAUGAUUAGGG